Molecule: ribosomal RNA, 502 nt
Filed under: uncultured bacterium
Lineage: Bacteria
Description: partial 16S ribosomal RNA
Rfam family: Bacterial small subunit ribosomal RNA
Source: RNAcentral
GACGAACGCUGGCGGCGUGCUUAACACAUGCAAGUCGAACGGUGAAGGGGUCUGCUUUUGUGGGCCCUGGAUGAGUGGCGAACGGGUGAGUAACACGUGAGUAACCUGCCCCCUUCUUCUGGAUAACCGCAUGAAAGUGUGGCUAAUACGGGAUAUUCUGGGUCUGUCGCAUGAUGGGUCUGGGAAAGAUUGCGCCUUUGGGUGUUUUUGGUGGGGGAUGGGCUCGCGGCCUAUCAGCUUGUUGGUGGGGUGAUGGCCUACCAAGGCGGUGACGGGUAGCCGGCCUGAGAGGGUGGACGGUCACACUGGGACUGAGACACGGCCCAGACUCCUACGGGAGGCAGCAGUGGGGAAUAUUGCACAAUGGGCGCAAGCCUGAUGCAGCGACGCCGCGUGAGGGAUGGAGGCCUUCGGGUUGUAAACCUCUUUCGCCAGUGAAGCAGGCCUGCUCCUUGUGGGUGGGUUGACGGCAGCUGGAUAAGAAGCGCCGGCUAACUACGUG